UUUCUCUGGGAGUCGACUCUUGCUUCCUUAGGAGUCGACCUGCCAACCGUCGGAGUCGACUCGAGUUCUUCGGAAGUCGACUCGGCUCUUAGAGUCCAAAAUGGCUUCUCUGUCUUUCUGUCUGUUACUCCAUGGAGUCGACUCGUACUAUGCUGGAGUCGACUCGGCAAGCAUCGGAGUCGACUCGAAUUCUUCACGAGUCGACUCGUUGACAGGUUCUGAGAUGAAUCUUUCUGUCCGGCUGUCUGUUCUCAGUCGGGGUCGACUCGUAAUGUGCAGGAGUCGACUCGAGCUUGUGCCAGAGCUUCUGAUACGCUUGGAGUCGACUCAUAAUCUUCCGGAGUCGACUCGAGAUUCAGACUUUGGUUCAAAUUGAAUUCCUUACUUAUCCAAAGUGUAUUGAACCAAAGCUAGAGACACUUGAACAUAAAUUUACAAAUAUUUGACUGAAACACUAG
RNAcentral lists this long non-coding RNA (458 nucleotides) under Phoenix dactylifera (date palm). Its description in RNAcentral is "long non-coding RNA (PDAC_LNC015969)". Lineage: Eukaryota; Viridiplantae; Streptophyta; Magnoliopsida; Arecales; Arecaceae. The record is from RNAcentral.